GUGCUUGCUUCGGCAGUGCAUAUACUAAAAUUGGAACGAUACAGAGAAGAUUAGCAUAGUGACUGCACAAGGAUGACAUGCAAAUUUGUGAAGCGUUCCAUGAUUUU
Small nuclear RNA from Octodon degus (degu), 107 nucleotides. Lineage: Eukaryota; Metazoa; Chordata; Mammalia; Rodentia; Octodontidae. The record is from Ensembl.